AGAUGAUUUUCUUUAGUUAAGAAGUUAAUUAAGAUGAUGAUGAUGAUGAUGAUGAGAAGUUAUUGAUCAGAAGGUUACAAAAAUGGGGAAAGAAAUGGUGGGGGAAGCCCUAUUUGCGCAUUCUGUCAUGCACGAUAAUAAUAAAUAAUGUAAGUAUACAAAUUACAGUGAUGAUGAUGAUAGCAACUUGAAAACUUUUAUCAUGGGUGUCCUCUCAAUUUCAUAAACAGUCCUACCAUAUAUACACGAGAGAGGAGA
This 258-nucleotide long non-coding RNA is filed under the name Linum usitatissimum (flax). RNAcentral's name for it is "long non-coding RNA (LUSI_LNC000620)". The record is from RNAcentral. Lineage: Eukaryota; Viridiplantae; Streptophyta; Magnoliopsida; Malpighiales; Linaceae.